This 445-nucleotide ribosomal RNA is filed under the name uncultured bacterium. RNAcentral's name for it is "partial 16S ribosomal RNA". It matches the Rfam family "Bacterial small subunit ribosomal RNA", at positions 354 to 796 of the family's 1533-position model. The record is from RNAcentral.
GUAAGGAAUAUUGGACAAUGGACGCAAGUCUGAUCCAGCCAUGCCGCGUGAAGGAUUAAGGUCCUCUGGAUUGUAAACUUCUUUUAUAAGGGACGAAAAAAGGCUUUUCUAAGUCGUCUGACGGUACCUUAUGAAUAAGCACCGGCUAACUCCGUGCCAGCAUCCGCGGUAAUACGGAGGGUGCAAGCGUUAUCCGGAUUCACUGGGUUUAAAGGGUGCGUAGGCGGGCAGGUAAGUCAGUGGUGAAAUACUAGAGCUUAACUCUAGAACUGCCAUUGAUACUAUCUGUCUUGAAUAUUGUGGAGGUAAGCGGAAUAUGUCAUGUAGCGGUGAAAUGCUUAGAUAUGACAUAGAACACCUAUUGCGAAGGCAGCUUACUACGCAUAUAUUGACGCUGAGGCACGAAAGCGUGGGGAUCAAACAGGAUUAGAAACCCGAGUAGUCC